Molecule: long non-coding RNA, 369 nt
Organism: Oncorhynchus tshawytscha (Chinook salmon)
Lineage: Eukaryota; Metazoa; Chordata; Actinopteri; Salmoniformes; Salmonidae
Source: Ensembl
GUAGCUGGGUGAUUAGACAGGGUGUGAUUGGUAGCUGGGAGGUUAGACAGGGAGUGAUUGGUAGCUGGGUGAUUAGACAGGGUGUGAUUGGUAGCUGGGAGGUUAGACAGGAUGUCAUUGGUAGCUGGGAGGUUAGACAGGGUGUGACAUCUCUGGUAACUGGGAGGUUAGACAGGGUGUGAUUGGUAGCUGGGACGUUAGACAGGGUGUGAUUGGUAGCUGGGACGUUAGACAGGGUGUGAUUGGUAGCUGGGAGGUUAGACAGGGUGUGAUUGGUAGCUGGGACGUUAGACAGGGUGUGAUUGGUAGCUGGGACGUUAGACAGGGUGUGAUUGGUAGCUGGGAGGUUAGACAGGGUGUGAUUGGUAG